Molecule: non-coding RNA, 86 nt
Organism: Phrynosoma platyrhinos (Desert horned lizard)
Lineage: Eukaryota; Metazoa; Chordata; Lepidosauria; Squamata; Phrynosomatidae
Source: the annotation of a GenBank genome assembly
GCCAGUGUGGUGUAGUGGUUUGAGCAUUGGGUGCUCUGGAUUCUCAGCCUCUUUGGGAGACCAGGGUUCAAAUCCCUACUCAGCCA